CUCCAGGGAAGGGAGGGAAGGAGGAACCAUAUGUGCAGAAAUCUAGGGGCCAGGAAUUCCCAGGAACACAGUGCUACAAGAAGCCAAGAUUACAGACAGGUGCAGCAGAGAGGCCACAUGCACCAAGCAGACAGCUUUGCAGGCAUGGUCAUACAGGUGCUCAGCUGAUCCAUCACCUGGUCACCCAGCAGCUCCUGGUAUACUAUGGAGGUGGGUCCCAGGGAAGACAUGAAGCAGGGAACAGCUCUGAAACUCUGGGAUGUACCAAGAUGCCUGUGAGGAUGUCUAAGCUGGUGACAGAAGCCCCCAGAGCUUGUGACCUCUGACCUGAGUCCCCAGGACCAGCUUAGGCCACUGCCUCCUGGGAUGGAAGACGGACCCACCUGGCAGCCAUCUUCAGAACGUUGUGCAGAGUUCCAGAGGAGCUGGACAAGUCAGACCACCCGGAGAACAGGGUUGUGCCUGUUGGCGAGAAGAAAUUCAGUCACCUCACCCCUGCGAGACCGAUAGAAGGCUUGAUGAUUGGCAGCCCAGAGGCAUUCCCUGCCCCUGAAAGCCCCACCUACCCUAACACAGUACCUGGCGGCUGUGAUCUGAGGAUUACAAGAUCCAAGAUAUCCUUGGGCAGCUCCACACUAAGAUAGAAAUCAGUCUGAGGCCACUGCACUAUAAAACAGGGUCAUAAAUAAAGACUGCAUUCAAAUUCUACCCUGAGUUGGCUUGGCUGUAGCCUCCCCUAAGGUUGCUGGCCUUUCUGAACCUGGAUUUACCCACCUGAGAAAUAGGAUCUCAUCUUCUUGUCCUAUGUGCACCUCUCUGUGGUCAGACUAGGAAUCUGGAGCCCAGAGGUGCAAGGCUGAGGUCGAAUGGGCACUUAGAAACUGUGUCCCAGUUCAAAGGACAGUUAAGGGGCUGGGAACUGGGGUCUCUGCCUCCCACGCAGCUUUUCUCAAGAACAGAAAUCAGGAAAGCAUGAAUCCAGGGUGUAACCUGUAACCGCUGUGCAGCCUUGAGCUGAUAAUCAAACCUCUCUGAACCUGUCUUUUUUUUCUCGGCCUCAGAAUGAGGCCAGCCAUAACUAGGGUUAUGAGAAGCCAGUAGAGGGUACCUAUCACCUUUGUAAUAAGGAAGCACCAGCAGCUCAGGUGACAGCAAGGGACAAGCCAGACCCUCACCCCCCACCCCCGCUCCACUCCUGUGCUCCUGUGCUCAAUGGUCGAGCAGAAGCAAUCCCACUGUUCCACAUCACCCAUAAGUCUGAAAAAGAGGCCUUGCCAAUAUGGGGGGUCAAAGUAGGAUCCCCAGGACGUGAGCAAGGAAAAGUGCAAAGUUGGCACUAGCAGACCAGUGGGAACAGGACUAGUGAGCACACACUGAGAAGAAAGGCCAAGCGAAGGAGCUCGCCCGCACGCAGCUGCAGCCCAUGUGGAAAGGGAGGCUCUUCCCUGCGCAGGCUUGCAGGAGUGAGCGAGUGUUUUCUCUGCCCGUCCCAUUAAUCUGUUUGCUGUGUCCUGUUCCCGCCCUCCCACCUCCUGUGCCUGUUCAUCCCGGGCUCACUCCCUCUCCUGAGGGCUCCACGGGUCAUUAAAACCGAAACAAGCCCGGCUCUGAUGGUUAAACCAGAUGCCAGGCGCGUCCUGCCGGCCCCUCUCGGGGUCAGACCGUGGGGGGCCUAGGUUCCCAAGGGGGACGGGCCAGACUGAGGGGAAACCCAACCCGAGACACAUGGAGAUCAUUUGCCAGAAGAAUGGGAUCCGUGACCAGCUCCAGCAGAGGGCAAGGAGGGAGAGAGGGGGUAAGGGCAGUGGGGCCAGGCCAAACUGGGCGCCACCCUGUGCUGAGGCUGGCUCAGCCCAGUGCAGGCUCGUUCCCUCCCCCAUCUCAACCAGGCUUGGCCAGGCCUCCAGGCCCUCCGGGCCCCCAGUAUCAUCUCCAGUGUGCCAAGGAUUGAAAGAAAGCUUUCGCAGCCUCUGACCCCCACCCCUACCUCCACCCCCACCCCAGCAGCUCAAGUCCCUCAACAGAUAGCUGAUACAUAGAAGAUGAAAACCAAGACUCAGAGGGGUCAUGUGACUUUCCAAAAGACAAACAGCAAAUCAGCAGAGGCAUCAGCCAGGAAUUUCCCAGAAGGCUACGGGUGGGUAGCUUGUUCACUCAGAAGGGAUGGAGUGACCUGGUCACCAUUUGCCAAACUGGUCAUGCUGUACCUUCAUGCCCCCUGAGGUGGGUCUCCUGACCAUGGUUGGGUCCCCAUUUGCUUGUCUGUUACCUUAACAACAGUUGUGUUCAAUAUAACUCAGGCCCCAUAAGUUUGGAUGGUGGUUC
RNAcentral lists this small RNA (2325 nucleotides) under Rattus norvegicus (Norway rat). RNAcentral's name for it is "uncharacterized LOC100912310". Lineage: Eukaryota; Metazoa; Chordata; Mammalia; Rodentia; Muridae. The record is from RNAcentral.